Molecule: ribosomal RNA, 43 nt
Filed under: Trypanosoma kuseli
Lineage: Eukaryota; Euglenozoa; Kinetoplastea; Trypanosomatida; Trypanosomatidae
Description: partial 28S zeta rRNA
Source: RNAcentral
AUAUCGAAUCGCCAUCUAACUCAUCUGGUAGGCUCUGCCUGCC